Molecule: long non-coding RNA, 268 nt
Organism: Cynocephalus volans (Philippine flying lemur)
Lineage: Eukaryota; Metazoa; Chordata; Mammalia; Dermoptera; Cynocephalidae
Exons: 3
Source: RefSeq, a predicted model, not a curated record
GUACAUCACUCCACCCCCUAGUGAGCGCCGCGGGAUGCCUCCCAGAAGCGGCCUCUUGGACGGGCCGGAGCACUUCUCGGGGUAUGAGGCCUGAAGAGCCUUCCAGAGAACUUAACCUCAGGGGAAGAAGCCAUCCAGUGUAACACUGCCACCAGUUGCAUGAAGCCUCUCUAGAUUCCACCUGCUUCAUACAAAUUAUCCCUCUCCGCUGUGCUCUGAGGACCAGGAGGUUGACCUCUGCAUAUUGACAGCACCACCCAUAUUGACG